This 240-nucleotide unclassified non-coding RNA is filed under the name soil metagenome. RNAcentral describes it as "partial contains 5.8S ribosomal RNA, internal transcribed spacer 2, and large subunit ribosomal RNA". The record is from RNAcentral.
AAGACUAUAGACCUGCGGAGUACCUGCGGAAGGAUCAUUACUGAGUGAGGGCCCUCUGGGUCCAACCUCCCACCCGUGUCUCUUGUACCAUGUUGCUUCGGCGCGCCCGCCUCACGGCCGCCGGGGGGCAUCUGCCCCCGGGCCCGCGCCCGCCGAAGCCCCCUCUGAACGCUGUCUGAAGAUUGCAGUCUGAGCGAUAAGCAAAAAUUAUUUAAAACUUUCAACAACGGAUCUCUAGAU